CCGUCGAUAGCUCAGUUGGUAGAGCGGUGGACUGUAGUGGACAUUUCUGUAGUUAUCCAUAGGUCGCUGGUUCAAAUCCGGCUCGACGGA
This 90-nucleotide transfer RNA is filed under the name Strigamia maritima. RNAcentral describes it as "tRNA-Tyr for anticodon GUA". It matches the Rfam family "tRNA". Rfam says of the family: Transfer RNA (tRNA) molecules are approximately 80 nucleotides in length. Their secondary structure includes four short double-helical elements and three loops (D, anti-codon, and T loops). Further hydrogen bonds mediate the characteristic L-shaped molecular structure. tRNAs have two regions of fundamental functional importance: the anti-codon, which is responsible for specific mRNA codon recognition, and the 3' end, to which the tRNAs corresponding amino acid is attached (by aminoacyl-tRNA synthetases). tRNAs cope with the degeneracy of the genetic code in two manners: having more than one tRNA (with a specific anti-codon) for a particular amino acid; and 'wobble' base-pairing, i.e. permitting non-standard base-pairing at the 3rd anti-codon position. Lineage: Eukaryota; Metazoa; Arthropoda; Chilopoda; Geophilomorpha; Linotaeniidae. The record is from Rfam by way of RNAcentral.